Molecule: transfer RNA, 72 nt
Filed under: Cavia porcellus (domestic guinea pig)
Lineage: Eukaryota; Metazoa; Chordata; Mammalia; Rodentia; Caviidae
Rfam family: tRNA
About the family: Transfer RNA (tRNA) molecules are approximately 80 nucleotides in length. Their secondary structure includes four short double-helical elements and three loops (D, anti-codon, and T loops).
Source: Rfam by way of RNAcentral
GGGGAUGUAGCUCAGGGGUGCAGCGCCUGCCUGGCAAGCGUGAGGUCCUGAGUUCAAUUCCCGGUGUCCCCU